This 455-nucleotide ribosomal RNA is filed under the name uncultured bacterium. RNAcentral describes it as "bacterial SSU rRNA". It matches the Rfam family "Bacterial small subunit ribosomal RNA", at positions 340 to 784 of the family's 1533-position model. The record is from RNAcentral.
UACGGGAGGCAGCAGUGGGGAAUAUUGCACAAUGGGCGAAAGCCUGAUGCAGCUAUGCCGCGUGUAUGAAGAAGGCCUUAGGGUUGUAAAGUACUUUCAGUCGUGAGGAAGGUGUUAAGGUUAAUAACCUUAGCAAUUGACGUUAGCGACAGAAGAAGCACCGGCUAACUCCGUGCCAGCAGCCGCGGUAAUACGGAGGGUGCGAGCGUUAAUCGGAAUUACUGGGCGUAAAGGGCACGCAGGCGGUUAAUUAAGUUGGAUGUGAAAUCCCCGGGCUUAACCUGGGAAUGGCAUUCAAGACUGGUUAGCUAGAGUCUUGUAGAGGGGGGUAGAAUUCCAUGUGUAGCGGUGAAAUGCGUAGAGAUGUGGAGGAAUACCGGUGGGCGAAGGCGGCCCCUGGGACAAAGGACUGACGCUCAUGUGCGAAAGCGUGGGGAGCAAACAGGGAUUAGAUA